ACGGGAGGCAGCAGUGGGGAAUAUUGGGCAAUGGGCGCAAGCCUGACCCAGCGACGCCGCGUGAAGGAAGAAGGUCUUCGGAUUGUAAACUUCUUUUAUGUGGGACGAAACAAAUGACGGUACCACAUGAAUAAGCCACGGCUAACUACGUGCCAGCAGCCGCGGUAAUACGUAGGUGGCGAGCGUUAUCCGGAUUUACUGGAUGUAAAGGGCGCGUAGGCGGGGAUGCAAGUCAGAUGUGAAAUCUAUGGGCUUAACCCAUAAACUGCAUUUGAAACUGUAUCUCUUGAGUGUCGGAGAGGUAGAUGGAAUUCCUAGUGUAGCGGUGAAAUGCGUAGAUAUUAGGAGGAACACCAGUGGCGAAGGCGAUCUACUGGACGAUAACUGACGCUGAGGCGCGAAAGCGUGGGGAGCAAACAGGAUUAGAUACCCUGGUA
RNAcentral lists this ribosomal RNA (437 nucleotides) under uncultured Clostridium sp. Its description in RNAcentral is "partial 16S ribosomal RNA". It matches the Rfam family "Bacterial small subunit ribosomal RNA", at positions 341 to 792 of the family's 1533-position model. Lineage: Bacteria; Bacillati; Bacillota; Clostridia; Eubacteriales; Clostridiaceae. The record is from RNAcentral.